UUGGCUUGCUUGAUGCUGGACGAUUAAUGAAGGAAGCCCUAACUGGACAAAUGUUGGUCUCCUGAGACAAUGUGUUGUUGAUAACAGAAAAGGAUUGACAAUAAGAUGUGGAUGUUCAUCUUUAAUGAACUCUAGUCACCAAGUGGAAGCCAGCUAAGUUUGACGAUGCAAUUGACCACCUUCCCAGCAACAGCUGAAUAUUUCCUCCUCAAGAUGGUAAUGUUGUAUUCAUAGAUAAUAUGA
Molecule: long non-coding RNA, 243 nt
Organism: Haemorhous mexicanus (house finch)
Lineage: Eukaryota; Metazoa; Chordata; Aves; Passeriformes; Fringillidae
Exons: 2
Source: RefSeq, a predicted model, not a curated record